AUCUCGCGGAUCUUAAGAUCGUGGAGAAGUUGCUCUUUUCUGUUGGGAGCGCGUGCGAUGCCAUGGGUGAAUUUAUAUAAUUCCCGUAUAUCUCCGCCGGCUCCGAAGAUCUGGUCGUCAGUUUAUGCACAGCCUUUGCGGAGUGUGCUCGGGUACCGCGUUCUCUCUUUUUAACGAUCCGAGAUUGUGAGAAGUAGCUUUACGGCGGUUGGAAGCACCCUUGAGACGAGCUGUGUGCAAAUUUUCGCGAGUCAUUCCGAAGGGGGUCGAAUUGUCAGCAUAAGAUUGCCACCCUUAAUUUUCGGGGGGUGGGAGUGUAUGAGUGUAUGUGUGUAUGUAUCGGCGAUCGCGUUGUUUGUUCUGGCCGGAAUCGGUGCAUCCCUAGCUGAGGCCGAAGAAGACAAAGCGAAGAAUCUGUGACAUUUCAGGCACCUCCGAGUGAAGUGAGUAACUCCACAAGGCGAAAUAAUUGAAGCACUCGAGUGAAGUUGGUGGCGCGGUAUUUCUUCUGGGUGGAAGUGCAUUCGUUGGCGGCAGCGGCGCGACGUGCUGGAACAUUGUGCAGCAGUGACAUUUCGUUUCGCGGGCACUGGCGCAUGCAACUCCCCGGUCGGGUCUUCAACGCGCGACGCAGCAUUAGUGGUGGAAUGAAGGAAAGCACAAAAGCACGCUGAGCAUCGCGCGGUCGCAAUUGAAUAACUCCCGACAGUACUGUUGUUGCAGGGUGCACAUGAAAGUGAAAUUGCCUACCCACAUAAGGCUGCACUUGCGCCACCAAGGUCGUCGAGCAAGCAAAUUUUGACAAUUACCAGUGGGAGUUGGCUUUUGGGUCACCCAAAAGUUUACCAGAAGUCAGGCCGGAGCUGGUGUGCGGUGUGCCCUUCACGAACUUGCCUGGGUGAUGUAAUAACAUUGAAAGUUGAAAAAAAGUUGUCCGUCACGCACUUUUCGCUAUCAAAUGUCAGCCCAAGAUCACAAGAAACCACCAAAAAGUAGGUGACUCUCCUUCAUUGGAUAAUCGCUAGCAGCCUGAACGUGGCCAAGUGAUUGAUACCGCUGAACCGAACACCACCACAUCAUCAGUGAAGUUCAUAACUCAUUAGGGGGGUUGCCGCCACGACCAAAGUUAAGCAAAAAAAACUAGAGGGUGAAAAAUUGCACAUUGUCGAGCGAAUCAAUCGGAAAAUGCGCGUAUCUUGCGGCAGCCCAAAUUUAUAAAAGAAAGAAAAAAAAUCCCAUUCGCGGUUGUGAGUCUGUGGUGCAGGAGUGUCUCAGUGCUAAACGAAGAAAGGGGGUCAAAAAUAGAAGAAACUUCAACAGAAGACGCCGAGAAGGAGGAUCGUUGGUUUGGAUUCAACCGUACAAUCGUCGAAACGAGCCAUAGGGGCGGCGUGAAAUUAGAAGAGAAGAAAAAAAAACGAGCAGCCCAAAACAUCAUCAGCACCAUCAAGGCAAAAGGCACCCAGAAAACAGAAUCGUCAAGCAUGAGUUUUAACACGACGACGACGACGACGGUUAUGCAGGUAUGAGCGCACAUCCACUGAAGUCAAAGGUAGAAGAAUUCAUCGGGGCGAAGCCCACAUUCAAUCACCCAAUCAGAUUCAAUCCGUCGUCGCCCUCUGUGCCAUGAACUACGCGCGCCUCCAGAGAUGUAGUAAAAGAUAUAUUAUUCAAUAACGUGGUGGUAGCUACGUAUUAUGGCAGUAUGUACCUACCUACCUAUGGUGUGUCUUGUUGAGGUGGCAAUAAACAUCGGUUCAAUGUUGUGAACCACUUAAUAGCUACUACUAUCACUCGGUGUUAAAAGCAACAGGCUUGGCCAGUUUACUGCCGAUUACCCUCGGGGCCCAGUCGACAAUAAGUAUAAUGCCUGUGCUUAGGUACGCGGGGCGACUACGAAUGAUUGCCCUCUGCUAUCUCUGUAGGGUUGCGGUACGUGUUGUCGACCCGGGUAGUUUAUCAAACUGACGAGUGCAAUUUUCAAUCGGAUCUCGUUGAAAUGCAUUUCGCGUUCAUUUAACAAAGUCUGAACUUUUUCAUGUUCCUGCGGCUGACAACCCUACGGUAGCAGCAUGCUUCCAUUCAAGUAAUAGGGAGAGCCCAGCUCACCCAUAACUGAGAGAAACAAUCCACCAUUUGGACAUCUGUUCCGAGCAGCCUAUAGGCUGCUGUCGGUAUACCGACCGAUGUCUAUAUACGACCACCGAUCGCUUAGCCCACCUUUGAUGAGGUGCGAUCUACCUAGACGGAAGGCUUCUCGCAGCUUCUGGUGAGCUACCAUUUUAUUAUUAUUUCUCUCCUAACAUUGAAUAAUUAUUGCUAUUAUUACGUGCGAAGGCCGCCUCUCUGGUGGAGUAGAAGCGGCUGCAUCUUUGUUUAUGGUGGCGGACGACUACCUGCCCUGCAUCUUAUAGCUGCUCUAUGCUAGAACAAAAUCGGGGCGGUAGCCGAAGUUGGUAGAUUUUAUCGUUGGGAAUCAAAAGUGGUUAGUAGACGACUGGUACUAGAAGAUUGUUGGAAAGAAAAUACUAUAAGGAAGGAAGAGGUGAUAUUCACACUUUUUGAAACUAUUGCAGCUAUUGUGAUAUACCUGAAUACAUCAAACUUUGGUAAAUUUCCCCAAGCUGUAAAGUAACUAUGCUUAAACUGCAAACAAAAUAAAAUAUUUAAAAUAAUACAUUAUAAUGAUAAAAAUAUUAAGGCAAUAAAAUGGUUUUCGUGAACUACUUUGGACAGUUGAAUAGUUACUCAACUAGGUCAAAAGAAAUGUGAACAUUAUUUUCUUGGCAUUCAUAAUUAUUAAGCAAUUAAUUCAACUGAACACCACAUCUCUGAGUGGUGUUUAAAGUUUUGCAUUUUAUUCUCACGGUUUCUCCACCAUCACUGUGGAUUAGCUUCCUCUGCUGUUGGAAGAUCACCUAAUGCUACCUUCAAAAUUGGAAGCUGCACCUUACUAUCAGUCUGAAACAUUCCGGUUCAAUAGUGAGUCGAAAAGAUGUACAGUGUUCUGUUAGUUCAGGCAGUCAGAAAUGUUUCCCGCGGGCCUUCGUUUGAAGGUUAAUUAUCGCUGUCACGCUUUUUGAAGGUUAAUUAUCGAUGUCGCGCGGACCUUGUUGAACAUAAUUAAAGAGUUUAAGGGUUACAUCUAGGUUAAUGGGAUUGGCAACUGGGUAGCGUUUUCCUCAAACGAUGCGUACGAUAAAAAAAACUUUCGUUCGAAAUUGGGUGGAAGAAAUGAUGACUAGACGGUAAAUAUUUUUUGGUGAAGAAGGGCAAAAAUGUUAUGCAAAUUGAAAUUUCAGUCAAAGCGCAAUUAAUUCAGAAUAGAUUUUCAAUUUCUACUGCGAUGGUUUAAAAUAAUAUUGUUACAUAAACUUCUGCAGAACUAAGUUGCCUACUUUUAGCGAUUGUAUAAAAUGAUUUAAUUCUGCAAAAAAAUAACACAUUAUAUUGGUUGGGAGGGGAAUGGC
Molecule: long non-coding RNA, 3470 nt
Organism: Aedes albopictus (Asian tiger mosquito)
Lineage: Eukaryota; Metazoa; Arthropoda; Insecta; Diptera; Culicidae
Exons: 3
Source: RefSeq, a predicted model, not a curated record